RNAcentral lists this ribosomal RNA (442 nucleotides) under uncultured bacterium. RNAcentral's name for it is "partial 16S ribosomal RNA". It matches the Rfam family "Bacterial small subunit ribosomal RNA", at positions 338 to 795 of the family's 1533-position model. The record is from RNAcentral.
CCUACGGGUGGCAGCAGUGGGGAAUAUUGGGCAAUGGGCGCAAGCCUGACCCCGCAACGCCGCGUGAAGGAAGAAGACUUUCGGGUUGUACACUUCUUUUGUCAGGGAAGAGUAGAAGACGGUACCUGACGAAUAAGCCACGGCUAACUACGUGCCAGCAGCCGCGGUCAUGCGUAGGUGGCAAGCGUUGUCCGGAUUUACUGGGUUUAAAGGGCGUGUAGCCGGGUUGACAAGUCAGAGGUGAAAACCUGCUGCUUAACCGCAGAACUGCAAUUGAACCUGUUGAUCUUGAGUACUGGAGAGGCAGACGGAAUUCCUAGUGUAGCGGUGAAAUGCAUAGAUAUCACGCAGAACUCCGAUUGCGAAGGCAGCAUACCGGCGCCCAACUGACGCUGAAGCACGAAAGCGUGGGUAUCGAACAGGAGUAGAUACCCCUGUAGUC